UUUUCUUUCUGCACCUCUAGAACGUUAUUCUUGUUCAUAGUAUCACCAUGGUUGUGAUGAUUGUCAUGAUUAACGUUCAUUACAAGAAUGUUGGUUCUUUAACACCCUUGUUAUUAGGAGGGUAUUGGUAGCAAUGAGGCAUUUGAGGCGUGAGGACAGCAUUUUACAUUUAAUUGAUUAUAUAAAUGGAAAAUUAACUUGCAUGAAUUGCUCAAUUGUUUGUCAAAUCUAAAGUCAUUCAUGCGUUCCUCUUGGUAGGAGAAUUUGGUUAUGAAUAGGAGGAGUGAAUCUUUACUGCAGGUUUUAUAUAUAUAUUAUUUUUAAUGUUGCUUCUUGGAUUUGCAUUGUGAUAAAAUCCUGGUUCUAGUCUCUAAUAUAUAUUUCUGUGGAGCCAACAAUCUACAGUUCAUGCUUUUCUUGUUUGGAUUUGUAGUAUGAUUAUUCUGCCCUUAGAGCCAUUUUAGAUUUAAUUUCCACGAAUGCUAAACCAAGUACUAUUAACAUCAUUAUU
Non-coding RNA from Arachis ipaensis, 511 nucleotides. NCBI's taxonomy places the organism in Eukaryota, Viridiplantae, Streptophyta, Magnoliopsida, Fabales, Fabaceae. The record is from RefSeq and is a predicted model, not a curated record.